CCUGGGCUAGAAUGUAUUUUGCCACCUUAAGAAAUUAAGGCUUCCUUCGGGACAGAAUACAAGGUGCUGCAUGGCUGUCGUCAGCUCGUGCCGUGAGGUGUUGGGUUAAGUCCUAUAACGAGCGAAACCCUUUUACUUAAUUGCCAGCACAUAAUGGUGGGGACUUUAAGUAGACUGCCCGUGUAAGCGGGAGGAAGGAGAGGACGAGGUCAAGUCAUCAUGGCCUUUAUGCUCAGGGCUACACACGUACUACAAUGGCAUGUACAAAGGGAAGCUACUUGGUAACAAGAUGCAAAUCUCAAAAGCAUGUCUCAGUUCGGAUUGAGGUCUGCAAUUCGACCUCAUGAAGUUGGAAUCGCUAGUAAUCGCGCAUCAGCAAUGGCGCGGUGAAUACGUUCUCGGACCUUGUACACACCGCCCAUCAAGCCAUGGGAGUUGGUAGAGCUUGAAGACAGUGGCA
RNAcentral lists this ribosomal RNA (460 nucleotides) under Cardinium endosymbiont of Bemisia tabaci. RNAcentral describes it as "bacterial SSU rRNA". It matches the Rfam family "Bacterial small subunit ribosomal RNA", at positions 974 to 1435 of the family's 1533-position model. The record is from RNAcentral. Lineage: Bacteria; Pseudomonadati; Bacteroidota; Cytophagia; Cytophagales; Amoebophilaceae.